GAGGUCAGGAAUGUGUGCUCUAAACUCAGACAAAACUAGGUUCAAAUCUUAGCUUAUUGGCUUAAAUACCACUUAUUAGCUUGUGAACUUGUACAGGUGACUUCAACUCACCAAGACCCCACAUCUCAUCUCUAAUAUACAAGUAAAAAUAGAACAUACCUGCCAGGAUGGAUGUGAGGAUUCAGUGAAAUCUACAUGCUUGACAGGCUUUUGCACAUAGAGUAAAGAAUCAAUAAAUGGUCAUUAUUUUGUACUUGGAAAUGCCAAAACAAUGAAGUAGUUACUCAAUACAUGCUGGCACCCACCUGAACCGAAUCAUGCCAAGGCAUGCUGCUGCUUUCUUAAAGGAAUAACCCAAAUAACUGAGAACAAGACACAAACAAAACAACUCAUCUUUCCCUAGACAAAGCCUUCUGAAUUUCCCUUGUUGGCAGUGAUGGUGGGUACCAUGCUGCCCGGGGAGAUGAGGAGCAAGAGGCGGCAAGCCCGGGGAAGCACCGGCACAGGGGUCAGCUGCAGCAGCAGUUUCUGCAGCAGGCCCUUCACCAGAUCCUCCAGGAGGAAGAAAAGUCAGAGGAGCCACAGAGGGAGGGGGAGCAGGGAGAGAGCAGAGGAGACUUUGCAAUUAUCUCCCUGAGACUGUUUAGAAUGUAAUGUUCCUCUCCGCCCCGCUUUCCUUUUCACGCUGUAAUUUUCUUCACAGAAAGAGCACAAUGGAGAACAUAUUCUAGACUGUCGAGCUUGCUACUAACUCCAGCAACCCAGACACGGGAACAGAUAAGGAAAAAAACAGAGGCAAUUUUUUCCCUGCAGAGAUUUGAGAGAUUGAAGCUAAAAAAUCCAGUUACACUUGAACAUCACAUUACCUGCACAGUUAAUGGUUUCGCUAGAGAUGGAGAACAUUUGGAGAUUUCCCCUAAGAAGAACUCUGUUGCCUGCGUUUUCACAAAUUUGCUUAUUUGGUCAAGUGUGGAAGAACCUGUUACUUAUGGUCUCUCAUGAGGAAAAGCUGAAACUCAGCGUUGGAAAACUGAGCUACCCGCUGUUUUGAUCAUCCACCAUUGUGGCAUUGGAUCUGUCAACCAGGUGUUUUCAGCAGACUUGACGGAAUGAGCUCUACCCCUGAGUGACACUGCUCCAUCCACGUCCUUCUUGGGAACAGCUCACAAGACUGAUUUCACUUCCUUCAUUCUCUCAGCUCACGGCCUGUGUCGUUUCAUGAAAAGAAGGUUCUGCUCUGGCUCUUCUUCAGCCAAAAGCUGCAAGAUACCAGAUUGACCUGAAGCAGAGAAUAAGAGCAAUGGACUUGGAUAGUUCUCAAAUCGGAAUUCCCAUUCUGGCUUGUAGCUUCGAUCAAGUUACUCUAUACUCUUUUAGCCUCUGUCUUCUCAUCUGCAAAAGAGGAUUAAUAAUGCUACCUUGCAACUGCUGUGAAGAUCAAGUGCAAUGCCAUGUCUGGUGCUAAGCCCAAGGCUUGGUAUGUAGUAAUUACUCAAUUAAUGAUAGUUAUUUUUCCAGUUGUACUACUUACCAACUCUGUAAGCUUGGUCAAAUCAGUUAAUCUCUCUAUGCAUCAGUUUCCCUCAGUAAAAUGGAUAUGGUAAUAGUAAGUCAUAAAAUUGUUGAAAAGAGAAGAUUAAAUUGGAUAAUGCAUGCAAAGUAGUUAGAACAAUGCCUG
This is a long non-coding RNA of Trichechus manatus latirostris (Florida manatee), 1678 nucleotides long. RefSeq lists it as uncharacterized. The record is from RefSeq and is a predicted model, not a curated record. The transcript has 4 exons. Lineage: Eukaryota; Metazoa; Chordata; Mammalia; Sirenia; Trichechidae.